CAGUAGCCGCGGUAAUACGUAGGUGGUAAGCGUUGUCCGGAAUUAUUGGGCGUAAAGGGCUCGCAGGCGGUUUCUUAAGUCUGACGUGAAAGCCCCCGGCUCAACCGGGGAGGGUCAUUGGAAACUGGGAAACUUGAGUGCAGAAGAGGAGAGUGGAAUUCCACGUGUAGCGGUGAAAUGCGUAGAGAUGUGGAGGAACACCAGUGGCGAAGGCGACUCUCUGGUCUGUAACUGACGCUGAGGAGCGAAAGCGUGGGGAGCGAACAGGAUUAGAUACCCCUGUAGUCCCUGUCUCUUAUAC
Molecule: ribosomal RNA, 301 nt
Filed under: uncultured bacterium
Lineage: Bacteria
Description: partial 16S ribosomal RNA
Rfam family: Bacterial small subunit ribosomal RNA
Source: RNAcentral